RNAcentral lists this transfer RNA (73 nucleotides) under Ictidomys tridecemlineatus (thirteen-lined ground squirrel). RNAcentral describes it as "Spermophilus tridecemlineatus (thirteen-lined ground squirrel) tRNA". It matches the Rfam family "tRNA". From Rfam's summary of the family: Transfer RNA (tRNA) molecules are approximately 80 nucleotides in length. Their secondary structure includes four short double-helical elements and three loops (D, anti-codon, and T loops). Lineage: Eukaryota; Metazoa; Chordata; Mammalia; Rodentia; Sciuridae. The record is from Rfam by way of RNAcentral.
GGGGGUAUAGCUCAGGUGGUAGAGUGCUUGCCUCACAUGCACAAGGCCCUGGGUUCGAUCCCCAGAACCCCCC